Molecule: ribosomal RNA, 238 nt
Filed under: uncultured bacterium
Lineage: Bacteria
Description: partial 16S ribosomal RNA
Rfam family: Bacterial small subunit ribosomal RNA
Source: RNAcentral
AGGGAAUCUUCCACAAUGGACGCAAGUCUGAUGGAGCAACGCCGCGUGAGUGAAGAAGGUCUUCGGAUCGUAAAGCUCUGUUGUUGGUGAAGAAGGAUAGAGGCAGUAACUGGUCUUUAUUUGACGGUAAUCAACCAGAAAGUCACGGCUAACUACGUGCCAGCAGCCGCGGUAAUACGUAGGUGGCAAGCGUUGUCCGGAUUUAUUGGGCGUAAAGCGAGCGCAGGCGGAAUGAUAA